UUUGCUGCCUUUCUAAGUAAGUUUUUAACGCGGUGCUGGUGAAACAUUAAGGGGCUUCCACACAGGAAGUGACUCGCAGCAAUGUGGUUUCCAGAGAAGUCAGUGACAUUCAGUGACUUCGAGUGACGAUGGUCCCAGGUUAAACCUUUCUCAACUCCUCUGGUCUCCACGUCAUUGCAACUGAAGGUUGGAGGGAGAAAGCUACAAGAUGCCUGCUGAGUGUGAUUCGAUGGAAAUAUCAGAUCCCCUUUCUCACACCCUCCUCCUGUCCACCGCCGAUAGUCCGAUUUUAGCCGAAAACCCGCUGUGCCUUCUGACCCCGGAUCAUGAGGAGCUCGUCACCAUGGAGUCUGUGGAAUACCAGCAGGAGGAGGUGUGCGAAGACAUGGAGAAGGACCCCCUGUCUGACAGCGGUUACAUCGAGCUGCACUAUUACGAGUCUCAGCAGUACCAGUACCUUGUGCUGCCGGACGACACCGAGCUCGACCUGGAGACCGUGGAGAUCCUGCAGCUUGAUGCCGAGGCCCAGGAGGCCGCCGGGUCACUGCUGGACCUCGCAGGCGGUGGAUAUUAGUUCAGAUCCUCAAAGAAACCCUCCUGGCUUCCAGUACACAAGCUGAAUAUAUCACCAUAGCAUCCCAUCCAGCCUGAACAGAGCCUUCAAGGUGUAGAACUGAGACAAAAGUAUUAAAAAUUAAGUGAUUCCACAGUGAUUUUCUAACAUGUUAACAUCGUUCUCAGGGGUGGAAGGAGUGCUUCAAGCUCAAUACAGAGUGCUGUUUCUCGACUGAGAAGUUUCCCAUUUUCAGGGGUGACUAACACGCUGUUGAAAUGUUCACGUUUAAUGUACAGCGAACAGCACAUUGACUCACUUCCACAUCGUUACCAGUAAAAUAUGAAUAUGUGUUACCCUCUUUCACUUGUUCUAAGCGGUGACCGUCUUUUCUUUCUAAGAAAGUUUCUGUAGGACAUUCAAAGUAAACUGUAGUUGACAGUCUUUGUUGUUUUCAGCAACACUGUUGCUUUGAUAGUUGAAGAAAACAGAUAAAAAAAAUUAUUUAUAAUGUAGCUAUGAUUUUAGAUUGUACUUAAGAAGUACAGGGAAGCACUUCUCAGUUAUAAUAAGUACUUCAAAUUUUAUUUCUAAUGGUUUUUAAUGUCCAUUAUUUUCAAGAUUAUCUUUGCUUGAGUUUAUUUUAUUUGCACGAUGUCUUCAAUCAGGAACAGUUUGAUUGACUCACUGCCAUUUUAACCACUUUACAUGUCGGUUACACUGAAAUUCUCUUCAUAAAUUGUAUGUAUUUACAACAGUUUUGGGUUUUGUAAUCUAAUAAAUAAAAUCUGUGAUGCCGUUCUUCUGAGCUGUGCAUCGGUUGUUAUAGUUUUGGUUUUAUUUUGUUUUUAAUGUUUGUUUUCCGCUUCAGUGAGUUUGCUUGGUUUGGUUUAGUUUGAUUUGGUUAAAUAAGUUUUUAAUGAUAAUGUCAAAGUUAUGAUUUAAGAAAUUCAGAAUAGAUUUGUACAGGACAAAUAAAACAUUUUGUGCAGCCAGUGCAUUCACAGUUUUAAUAUGUGCACCGGUCCCUCUGUAUACCGCACUGGACCCCUACAUGUCUUCAUGUGAGUGGUGGACAUGUAGCUCUGUGGGCUAACGCCUGACCAUCAGGCACUUGCCCCAAAAUAGCUUAAGAACUAUUCUACAAUUAUGGGACAUUUUCUUUUCCAGCCAUGAAUUUGAAAAUAGUCCAUGCACAAAAUACUAAACAUACAUUUGUUGUGUGCACCUGAGACAAAAUGCGGACCCAGUUGUUGAAAAAGUUGUUCCAAAAUAUUAUUUCAACUCCUCAAAAAAGGACAUUUAUCUUUUGGCCCAACUUCUUGAUAACCAAAUUACAUGUCGUAUAUAACUGUUUCAAUAUUUUGUUUACGCUUACAAUUAUUUAGCUAUCUUCAAGAUCAACAUAUUUUAAAGAACAGUAAUUAUGAACUGCAAGUUAUGUCUCACAACAUAUGUGCCAUCCUGUGACCGA
Molecule: long non-coding RNA, 2027 nt
Organism: Oreochromis niloticus (Nile tilapia)
Lineage: Eukaryota; Metazoa; Chordata; Actinopteri; Cichliformes; Cichlidae
Source: Ensembl